This is a long non-coding RNA of Ornithodoros turicata, 437 nucleotides long. RefSeq lists it as uncharacterized. The record is from RefSeq and is a predicted model, not a curated record. The transcript has 3 exons. NCBI's taxonomy places the organism in Eukaryota, Metazoa, Arthropoda, Arachnida, Ixodida, Argasidae.
CACUUCGUCAUUCAGCUCUGUCGGAUCCCUGCUUCGAGUGAAGUGCUACUGUCCAGAUGGCCACAUUUUCUGUUGGGAAAGCCAGCCGUACAUAGCCAAUAAGCCUGCUGGGAAUGUGCUUUUGUCAGCUGCCAUUCUAUUCAGUGGAGCCAGCCCAAUACCAACACUGCGUAUGCUUCAACUGAUAAAUGUCAAGGCCAUCUGUGACAACACAUUUUUCUGCUACCAGCGAGGCUACCUUCUUCCCGCAAUAACAGAGGUAUGGAUACAACACCAAGCCACACUCCUGGUUGAGAUGCAGGGCAGGAGAAUCAACUUAGCUGCUGACGGACGGUGUGAUUCACCUGGACAUAAUGCAAAAUACCUUUCCUACAACUUCUACAACUGGGAGUUGAACAAAGUCAUCCACACUGUCCAGGUCCAGGUGUGUGGCUGCU